GUGUCUUCACACAGCCACAGAGACACUUCAGAUGACAUCACAGAGACACAGAGAGACCCUUCUGGUGUCACCACAAACAUGCAGAGAACCCUUCAGGGGACAUCACAGAACAACAGAGAUAACAUUCAGAUGACAUCCCAAAGCCUCCAAAAGACCCUUCAGGUGAAUUCACAGAACAAGAGAGUGACCGUUCUGGUGACAUCACUUAGCGACAGAGAGAUGCUUCAGGUGACAUCACAGAGUCACAGAGACACUUCAGGUGUCAUCACAGAGCCACAGAGAGAUGCUUCAGGUGAGAUCACAGAUCAACACAGAGACACUUCAGGUGUCAUCACAGAGCCACAGAGAGACACUUAAGGUGACAACACAGAGCCACAGGAGACACUUCAGGUGACAUCACAGAGCAACACAGAGACACUUCAUUUGUCAUUACAGAGCCACAGAGAGACCCUUCAGGUGACAACACA
Molecule: long non-coding RNA, 467 nt
Filed under: Cricetulus griseus (Chinese hamster)
Lineage: Eukaryota; Metazoa; Chordata; Mammalia; Rodentia; Cricetidae
Description: lncRNA (ENSCGRG00015031903.1)
Source: RNAcentral